UCCGCUUGUUCUCUACUUGGCUAAGAAUUAAACACCGGUUGUCCUUUUAGUUAUUUAUUUAUUGGUUGAUGGACUGUGGUAAUACGAGUCGUUGCACGUACCAAAAGCCCCGGGUUUCAUCUCAUCCAGCAUUCAUACAGGUGAAGUGUGUGGCGGCUGCUGGACGGGAUCACCCUCCUCCUCAGGGCUUUCCUCCCGCAGCCUUCCCUGGGCCGGGGGCUGCGUUAGGUCUGGCCAGCACUGGGUUCUUUUCGGGCUUUCUCUGUUUCUGCAUUUCUAUGUGAAUCCUCUCUGUUGAUCCUGCCACACAGGGACAACUGCAUCGUCACCUGCCUUGUGGUCCCUCACAUAGAUGGAAAUACUGACAUAAAAUUACUCACCUGAUGUCACAUGGAGACUAAAUGAUAUACCUGAGGUUUCAGUUCAGGCGUUACCAGAUAAUGUGUGAGAUAUGCACCAAUCUCAAAGUGGAUAGCUGAAGUUAGGUGCUGACAAGACCAUCACAAUGGCCUUUAAGGAGGAAAGACAUGCUUGUGCUAUAUACUUUGACAUUGAAUUAGAUUGUGUAGGGUGAGAAGAGGAAGUCCUUUUGAUAGACACAUUCUUUGCAUAGGCAAAGGAGGGGAGUGUGCCAAUAAAGCUCCCUAAUCUUUGUCUUUGGAUAUCUAGGGAUGGGACUAUGGCAUCAGCAGGACUUGGCAGAAUUGCAGAGAAGAGAACCACCAAAAUAGUUUUCAGCUUUGCCUCUAAGGGGUGAUUGGAAUCUCCUUUGAUGUUGAGCAUCUAGGAGAUGUCCUCUGUGGAUGCUUUUCUGGUCUGUCUCAGUACAUUACUUUUAUUGAUAUCACCUUCCCUCCUCAUCCCUCUCCCUGGUAUAGUUUGAAUCUUCCCUAUGGUAUGUUUUUACCCUCACAUCUACCUUUUUUCUUCAAAGUAAAUCCUUUUUAAAUACCACGCCAAAGAAUUCCUGGUAGAGUUGUUUAACAAGGGCGACACAUACUUAUCUCUUGACCUCACACUUGGAAGCUACUGAGCACUUUGGCUUUGAUCAUCAGAAAAUAUGUCUGAGGCAGAUAUUUGGCAUUGGAGACCUUAGUUUUCAAAAUAUGAGGCAUAAAAUAUCAU
Molecule: long non-coding RNA, 1125 nt
Organism: Pezoporus flaviventris
Lineage: Eukaryota; Metazoa; Chordata; Aves; Psittaciformes; Psittacidae
Exons: 3
Source: RefSeq, a predicted model, not a curated record